UACGUAGGGACCGAGCGUUGUCCGGAAUCAUUGGGCGUAAAGAGCGUGUAGGCGGCCACUUAAGUCCUGCGUGAAAUCUUGCGGCUCAACCGCAAGCGGUCGUGGGAAACUGGGUGGCUAGAGUGCGGGAGAGGAGAGUGGAAUUCCUGGUGUAGCGGUGGAAUGCGCAGAUAUCAGGAAGAACACCCGUGGCGAAGGCGGCUUACUGGUCCGGUACUGACGCUGAGGUGCGAAAGCGUGGGGAGCAAACAGG
Molecule: ribosomal RNA, 253 nt
Filed under: uncultured bacterium
Lineage: Bacteria
Description: partial 16S ribosomal RNA
Rfam family: Bacterial small subunit ribosomal RNA
Source: RNAcentral